Molecule: long non-coding RNA, 1584 nt
Organism: Oncorhynchus gorbuscha (pink salmon)
Lineage: Eukaryota; Metazoa; Chordata; Actinopteri; Salmoniformes; Salmonidae
Exons: 3
Source: RefSeq, a predicted model, not a curated record
ACCACUUCCUCUUUCGUUUCUGGAGAACUACACAACAGCCUAGUGCCUGGAUAAUUAACUAGUCAACUGUAUUACAAUUGACGAAUGCAAGAGCUCCUCGGAAAUGACGAUGAAAUGCACUGACAUUAUCAAUAACAAGCUUUCUAGCUGGCCUGGCGAGGCUCUGUUCAGCUAUUGAUUACAAUCCACUCGACAAAGAGUGUAAUGUUAGCUGAAACGACUGGUACCCAGAUAGCGGCUAACAGCUAAACAAAAGCCCGGAUGGUUAACAUAUAGCUAGCUUUCUCCCAAAUAACGUUAAACGAUUGAAAAUGAAUGCCAAAACCCCGUCACCGACAUGACAACGUACAGCGGUUUGUUCUGUACUGCUAUCUGACAUUUACAUCAUUAUUAUGACAAUGACACCAACCAUUUACUGCCUCGAUUCAAGCAGUGUGGUAAAUAGCCUACACAGUUGUUAGCAACGUAGUAGCCAUAUUGAGUUGCCCGGCAAAGCUGUCCACACCACCUGACCUCAGUGCUCGUCUCUUGGCUCCGGGAAUGUGGACAGGUCUCUCGGGGAGAAAAGGCUACCUCCGUGCUAACGUUGGCUAACGCUAGCCGGGCCAUGGAGAAGAUGCGUCCAAUCUGCUCAUCUUGAAUGGAGGCUUGGUGGUCCAGCUCGACGCCAUCCUGCAGGGUCACGAGGACACAGAGCCAGGGACUUCCGCGGUUUCGAGAAGGUGCCUUUCUAUCCCCUGCACCCGGCCGUCUCGCUCAGGGAGCCGGAGAGCAGGAUGACCUUCAGAUGAUGAGGUUAUGGGUCAAGGGGUUAUGCCAUGGUGAUGCUUCAGCUCAGAAAAUGGAGAGUAGUCCUGGAAGUGGAAUUAUUAGAAAGAACAUUCCAUUCAAGUCGUAUGUUCUGUGAUGGAUCUAUUUCUAUGAGGAAAUCUGUCAUUUAAGAGGGUUUCAGAGGAGAGUUUCUAUGUCAUCCCCUGUAGGUCACAGAAGGAGUGCACAUGGAGAGUUGAUGGAUUAAUGUUUGGAUUUGCAUAAACAAAUACAACCUAAAUAAAUGAGAUUGAUACGCUUCAUGUAUUUAUUUACAUUUUUACUUAAGACUAAAGUAUAAUGGCUAAGGAUAGCUAUAAAGUACAUACGAUGAAAUUAAAGUACUUUUUUCUGCAGUGGGUUAAAUCAGGGUGUUAAGGGAUUUUUUUUAAAAUCUAUAAUGACUAAUUAUGUAUACAUUUCAAUCAGGAUGUACUAAUCAGAAUACUAUUAUGUUACUGUAUAUGUACUAAUCAGAAUACUAUUAUGUUACUGUAUAUGUACUAAUCAGAAUACUAUUAUGUUACUGUAUAUGUAUGAAUUUUCUUUCUUGAUCCCAGUACUGAAUAUAAUGUGUGUGAAUGUGGUCAAGAGUUAGAACAAUGACUAUCUGUUCCUUGGUACAAAUUAAUCAGACUGGCUAGAAUGCUUAUCUACACGAGAAAACCUUGACUCGUAAAUUAUAUUAAAUUGGUAGGGAGACUGAUGUGGGAAGGCUUGAGAUACAGCCUUUGUACUGGAACGGAGAUGGCACGGGUUGGGGCUGAAACUAAG